This 72-nucleotide transfer RNA is filed under the name Actinorhabdospora filicis. RNAcentral's name for it is "tRNA-Gln". It matches the Rfam family "tRNA". From Rfam's summary of the family: Transfer RNA (tRNA) molecules are approximately 80 nucleotides in length. Their secondary structure includes four short double-helical elements and three loops (D, anti-codon, and T loops). The record is from RNAcentral. Lineage: Bacteria; Bacillati; Actinomycetota; Actinomycetes; Micromonosporales; Micromonosporaceae.
UCCCGGGUCGUAUAAGGGCAAUACCUUUGAUUUUGGUUCAAAUGAUGGGGGUUCGAGUCCUCCCCCGGGAGC